GUGGAUUAGAUACCCUGGUAGUCCACGCUGUAAACGUUGCAUACUCGGUCUUAGCGAUAUACAGUUAGGACCUAAGCGAAAGCAUUAAGUAUGCCACCUGGGGAGUACGGUCGCAAGAUUGAAACUCAAAGGAAUUGACGGGGGCCCGCACAAGCGGAGGAGCAUGUGGUUUAAUUCGAUGAUACGCGAGGAACCUUACCCGGGCUUGAAAGUUAGUGACGAAUUCCGAAAGGAGUUUUUCUAGCAAUAGACACGAAACUAGGUGCUGCACGGCUGUCGUCAACU
RNAcentral lists this ribosomal RNA (285 nucleotides) under uncultured bacterium. RNAcentral's name for it is "partial 16S ribosomal RNA". It matches the Rfam family "Bacterial small subunit ribosomal RNA", at positions 773 to 1060 of the family's 1533-position model. The record is from RNAcentral.